Molecule: ribosomal RNA, 426 nt
Filed under: uncultured bacterium
Lineage: Bacteria
Description: bacterial SSU rRNA
Rfam family: Bacterial small subunit ribosomal RNA
Source: RNAcentral
GUGAGGAAUUUUCCGCAAUGGGCGAAAGCCUGACGGAGCAAUGCCGCGUGAAGGAUGAAGGCCUAUGGGUUGUAAACUUCUUUUCUCAGAAAAGAAUUAUGACGGUAUCUGAGGAAUAAGCAUCGGCUAACUCUGUGCCAGCAGCCGCGGUAAGACAGAGGAUGCAAGCGUUAUCCGGAAUGAUUGGGCGUAAAGCGCCUGUAGGUUGUUUAAAAAGUAUUCUGUCAAAGAUUAGGGCUUAACCCUAGAUAGGCAGAAUAAACUUUUAAGCUAGAGUUUGGUAGAGGCAGAGGGAAUUCCCGGUGGAGCGGUGAAAUGCGUAGAUAUCGGGAGGAACACCAAAGGCGAAGGCACUCUGCUGGGCCAAUACUAACACUGAGAGACGAAAGCGAGGGGAGCAAAUGGGAUUAGAAACCCUUGUAGUCC